GACAGAGGGGGCAAGCGUUGCUCGGAAUCACUGGGCGUAAAGGGCGCGUAGGCGGGAUGGCAAGUCAGUCGUGAAAUCUCUCGGCUCAACCGAGAAACGUCGGCUGAUACUGCCGUUCUUGAGGGAUGCAGAGGAGACUGGAAUCCCCGGUGUAGCGGUGAAAUGUGUAGAGAUCGGGAGGAACACCGGUGGCGAAGGCGGGUCUCUGGGCAUCUCCUGACGCUGAGGCGCGAAAGCGUGGGGAGCAAACGGG
This 253-nucleotide ribosomal RNA is filed under the name uncultured bacterium. RNAcentral's name for it is "partial 16S ribosomal RNA". It matches the Rfam family "Bacterial small subunit ribosomal RNA", at positions 524 to 776 of the family's 1533-position model. The record is from RNAcentral.